AUGAACGCUGGCGGCGUGCUUAACACAUGCAAGUCGAACGAACCUUCGGGUUAGUGGCGGACGGGUGAGUAACGCGUGAGAAUCUGCCCUCAGGAGGGGGAUAACGGCUGGAAACGGCCGCUAAUACCCCAUAUGCCGAGAGGUGAAACGAGUUUUCGCCUGAGGAUGAGCUCGCGUCUGAUUAGCUAGUUGGUGAGGUAAGGGCUCACCAAGGCAUCGAUCAGUAGCUGGUCUGAGAGGAUGAUCAGCCACACUGGGACUGAGACACGGCCCAGACUCCUACGGGAGGCAGCAGUGGGGAAUUUUCCGCAAUGGGCGAAAGCCUGACGGAGCAACGCCGCGUGAGGGAUGAAGGCCUCUGGGCUGUAAACCUCUUUUCUCAAGGAAGAAGAUCUGACGGUACUUGAGGAAUAAGCCACGGCUAAUUCCGUGCCAGCAGCCGCGGUAAUACGGGAGUGGCAAGCGUUAUCCGGAAUUAUUGGGCGUAAAGCGUCCGCAGGCGGCCUUUUAAGUCUGUUGUCAAAGCGUGGAGCUUAACUCCAUUUCGGCAAUGGAAACUGGGAGGCUUGAGUGUGGUAGGGGCAGAGGGAAUUCCCGGUGUAGCGGUGAAAUGCGUAGAUAUCGGGAAGAACACCAGUGGCGAAGGCGCUCUGCUGGGCCCAUAACUGACGCUCAUGGACGAAAGCCAGGGGAGCGAAAGGGAUUAGAUACCCCUGUAGUCCUGGCCCGUAAACGAUGAACACUAGGUGUCGGGGGAAUCGACCCCCUCGGUGUCGUAGCCAACGCGUUAAGUGUUCCGCCUGGGGAGUACGCACGCAAGUGUGAAACUCAAAGGAAUUGACGGGGGCCCGCACAAGCGGUGGAGUAUGUGGUUUAAUUCGAUGCAACGCGAAGAACCUUACCAGGGUUUGACAUCCUGCGAAUCCCUUGGAAACGAGGGGGUGCCUUCGGGAGCGCAGAGACAGGUGGUGCAUGGCUGUCGUCAGCUCGUGUCGUGAGAUGUUGGGUUAAGUCCCGCAACGAGCGCAACCCACGUCUUUAGUUGCCAGCAUUCAGUUGGGCACUCUAGAGAGACCGCCGGUGAUAAACCGGAGGAAGGUGUGGAUGACGUCAAGUCAUCAUGCCCCUUACAUCCUGGGCUACACACGUACUACAAUGCUACGGACAAAGGGCAGCAAACUCGCGAGAGCUAGCAAAUCCCAUAAACCGUGGCUCAGUUCAGAUCGUAGGCUGCAACUCGCCUACGUGAAGGAGGAAUCGCUAGUAAUCGCAGGUCAGCAUACUGCGGUGAAUACGUUCCCGGGCCUUGUACACACCGCCCGUCACACCAUGGAAGUUGGCCACGCCCGAAGCCGUUACUCCAACCCUUGUGGAGGAGGACGUCGAAGGUGGGGCUGAUGACUGGGGUGA
This 1410-nucleotide ribosomal RNA is filed under the name uncultured bacterium. Its description in RNAcentral is "bacterial SSU rRNA". It matches the Rfam family "Bacterial small subunit ribosomal RNA". The record is from RNAcentral.